CUAUACUGCAAGUCGAGCGAAUGGAUUAAGAGCUUGCUCUUAUGAAGUUAGCGGCGGACGGGUGAGUAACACGUGGGUAACCUGCCCAUAAGACUGGGAUAACUCCGGGAAACCGGGGCUAAUACCGGAUAACAUUUUGAACCGCAUGGUUCGAAAUUGAAAGGCGGCUUCGGCUGUCACUUAUGGAUGGACCCGCGUCGCAUUAGCUAGUUGGUGAGGUAACGGCUCACCAAGGCAACGAUGCGUAGCCGACCUGAGAGGGUGAUCGGCCACACUGGGACUGAGACACGGCCCAGACUCCUACGGGAGGCAGCAGUAGGGAAUCUUCCGCAAUGGACGAAAGUCUGACGGAGCAACGCCGCGUGAGUGAUGAAGGCUUUCGGGUCGUAAAACUCUGUUGUUAGGGAAGAACAAGUGCUAGUUGAAUAAGCUGGCACCUUGACGGUACCUAACCAGAAAGCCACGGCUAACUACGUGCCAGCAGCCGCGGUAAUACGUAGGUGGCAAGCGUUAUCCGGAAUUAUUGGGCGUAAAGCGCGCGCAGGUGGUUUCUUAAGUCUGAUGUGAAAGCCCACGGCUCAACCGUGGAGGGUCAUUGGAAA
RNAcentral lists this ribosomal RNA (602 nucleotides) under Bacillus sp. CH460b_14D. RNAcentral's name for it is "bacterial SSU rRNA". It matches the Rfam family "Bacterial small subunit ribosomal RNA", at positions 49 to 632 of the family's 1533-position model. The record is from RNAcentral. Lineage: Bacteria; Bacillati; Bacillota; Bacilli; Caryophanales; Bacillaceae.